CCCUACUCAACUUAAUAUAGAAGGCAAUUUGUAUGGCGUUUACGAAGAAAAUAACUCGCGACACUAAAGCAAAUCUCUUGACUCGUCAGAGCUCUUUAUUUAAACGAGAAAGACGAGGAGAUAGCCCACGUGUUAUCGCCAAUCGCUUGACUUGCCAGCGAGCUUUAUGCAAUAGAAGAGAAAGGCAAGGAGAUAGCCCACGUGUUAUCGUCAAUCGCUUGACUUGCCAGCGAGCUUUACGCAAUAGAAGAGAAAGGCAAGGAGAUAGCCCACGUGUUAUCGUCAAUCGCUUGACUUGCCAGCGAGCUUUACGCAAUAGAAGAGAAAGGCAAGGAGAUAGCCCACGUGUUAUCGCCAAUCGCUUGACUUGCCAGCGAGCUUUAUGCAAUGGAAGAAAAAGGCAAGGAGGUAGCCAGCGUGUCACCGUCACAGACUGGUGUAAAUAGCGAGCAACAUUUGACAUUUGAUAUAGUUAAUAUUAAGUUCUGUUAUGGUUUAUAUAGACAUUUAAGUGAUGACAUUUUUGAGUGACAUUAUAGGCGUUAGUUGUAUCAGUAUUUUGUAAGAGAGACACGCGAGAGUAAAGAGACGGUUUAAAGGACGGA
Molecule: non-coding RNA, 605 nt
Organism: Paramuricea clavata
Lineage: Eukaryota; Metazoa; Cnidaria; Anthozoa; Malacalcyonacea; Plexauridae
Source: the annotation of a GenBank genome assembly